GAUGAACGCUGGCGGCGUGCCUAAUACAUGCAAGUCGAGCGAACAGACGAGGAGCUUGCUCCUCUGACGUUAGCGGCGGACGGGUGAGUAACACGUGGAUAACCUACCUAUAAGACUGGGAUAACUUCGGGAAACCGGAGCUAAUACCGGAUAAUAUAUUGAACCGCAUGGUUCAAUAGUGAAAGACGGUUUUGCUGUCACUUAUAGAUGGAUCCGCGCCGCAUUAGUUAGUUGGUAAGGUAACGGCUUACCAAGGCAACGAUGCGUAGCCGACCUGAGAGGGUGAUCGGCCGCACUGGAACUGAGACACGGUCCAGACUCCUACGGGAGGCAGCAGUAGGGAAUCCUCCGCAAUGGGCGAAAGCCUGACGGAGCAACGCCGCGUGAGUGAUGAAGGUCUUCGGAUCGUAAAACUCUGUUAUUAGGGAAGAACAAAUGUGUAAGUAACUAUGCACGUCUUGACGGUACCUAAUCAGAAAGCCACGGCUAACUACGUG
This 497-nucleotide ribosomal RNA is filed under the name uncultured bacterium. RNAcentral describes it as "partial 16S ribosomal RNA". It matches the Rfam family "Bacterial small subunit ribosomal RNA", at positions 28 to 507 of the family's 1533-position model. The record is from RNAcentral.